GCAAUCUGCCCUGCACUCUGGGACAAGCCCUGGAAACGGGGUCUAAUACCGGAUACUGACCUUCACGGGCAUCUGUGAAGGUCGAAAGCUCCGGCGGUGCAGGAUGAGCCCGCGGCCUAUCAGCUUGUUGGUGAGGUAAUGGCUCACCAAGGCGACGACGGGUAGCCGGCCUGAGAGGGCGACCGGCCACACUGGGACUGAGACACGGCCCAGACUCCUACGGGAGGCAGCAGUGGGGAAUAUUGCACAAUGGGCGAAAGCCUGAUGCAGCGACGCCGCGUGAGGGAUGACGGCCUUCGGGUUGUAAACCUCUUUCAGCAGGGAAGAAGCGAAAGUGACGGUACCUGCAGAAGAAGCGCCGGCUAACUACGUGCCAGCAGCCGCGGUAAUACGUAGGGCGCAAGCGUUGUCCGGAAUUAUUGGGCGUAAAGAGCUCGUAGGCGGCUUGUCACGUCGGUUGUGAAAGCCCGGGGCUUAACCCCGGGUCUGCAGUCGAUACGGGCAGGCUAGAGUUCGGUAGGGGAGAUCGGAAUUCCUGGUGUAGCGGUGAAAUGCGCAGAUAUCAGGAGGAACACCGGUGGCGAAGGCGGAUCUCUGGGCCGAUACUGACGCUGAGGAGCGAAAGCGUGGGGAGCGAACAGGAUUAGAUACCCUGGUAGUCCACGCCGUAAACGGUGGGCACUAGGUGUGGGCAACAUUCCACGUUGUCCGUGCCGCAGCUAACGCAUUAAGU
This 733-nucleotide ribosomal RNA is filed under the name Streptomyces sp. ms155. Its description in RNAcentral is "bacterial SSU rRNA". It matches the Rfam family "Bacterial small subunit ribosomal RNA", at positions 121 to 865 of the family's 1533-position model. The record is from RNAcentral. Lineage: Bacteria; Bacillati; Actinomycetota; Actinomycetes; Kitasatosporales; Streptomycetaceae.